GAGGAAUUUUGCGCAAUGGGGGAAACCCUGACGCAGCAACGCCGCGUGAGUGAUGAAGGCUUUCGGGUCGUAAGGCUCUGUCAAGUGGAAAGAAACUGCCAUAUGCAAAUACCAUGUGGCACUGACGGUACCACUGAAGGAAGCACCGGCUAACUCCGUGCCAGCAGCCGCGGUAAUACGGGGGGUGCUAGCGUUAUUCGGAAUCAUUGGGCGUAAAGGGCGCGUAGGCGGUCGUUUAAGUCGGAUGUGAAAGCCCUCGGCUUAACCGGGGAAGUGCAUUUGAUACUAGACGACUUGAGUAUGGGAGAGGGAAGCGGAAUUCCUGGUGUAGCGGUGAAAUGCGUAGAUAUCAGGAGGAACACCGGUGGCGAAGGCGGCUUCCUGGACCAAUACUGACGCUGAGGCGCGAAGGCGUGGGGAGCAAAC
This 426-nucleotide ribosomal RNA is filed under the name uncultured bacterium. RNAcentral's name for it is "bacterial SSU rRNA". It matches the Rfam family "Bacterial small subunit ribosomal RNA", at positions 356 to 773 of the family's 1533-position model. The record is from RNAcentral.